RNAcentral lists this long non-coding RNA (2685 nucleotides) under Pogona vitticeps (central bearded dragon). RNAcentral's name for it is "lncRNA (ENSPVIG00000021784.1)". Lineage: Eukaryota; Metazoa; Chordata; Lepidosauria; Squamata; Agamidae. The record is from RNAcentral.
CUCCUUCAACAUGGUGACAUCCCAAAUCUCUCCUGAUCGUUCAGCUUCCUCAGUGGGGUGCUCCUUACUGUGCAUAUGGUCGCACAGCAUGAGUGACUUGACCACUCUCCUUUGUGGGGUAUCUCCCCAGUGGGGAUAGGUUCCGGAUGCACCAUCUUCCUCCAAGGACCCUUCCCUCUCAUGUAGACAUAGACCGCCCAUUCCAGUGGGUCUAGCUCCCCUAACUGAACUUCUAUACCUGUCACUCCUGUGAGGGUCUGCUCCCUCUAUCACUAUCCCUUUCUUCCUUCUUUGGGAAUGAAAACACAUGCGGUCCUUCUUCUUUGUCUUGUCGCUCACUCUCCUUCUCUCUCUCUUCCUCCCCAGUGUCUAUCUACUCCUCCGAACUCCAACUCCUCUUCUUCCCUGCCUUUUCCUCCCACUUUGUCGUCAUCAAGAAACCUUCCACUACCGACCACUACAAUUACGAGCCAAGAUCUGAAUGAAUCAUUUCCUUCAUUCUUACAAGAAGAGAACCUAAAUAGCAAUCAGAAAUACAAAGAGCCUGUGGAUAAGCAGAACAUCCCCAUGACUGAAUAUGAAAUAAGGAUAAAGGAUCCCCAGCCUCUCCUCCUAACCACUGUUUCACCAUCACUGUCACAGCGACAGAGUCUCAUAACAUCACCCAUCAAACAACAUCCACUUCCCUUUCAUGGGCAGCCCAGUAGAGACCUUCAUGGGAAGCAGAAUGCAGGCCUUAUUCUACCAUCCUCUCCUGGACUCAAACGGCACAGGUCCAUGUGGUGGAGUCCUGAAGUGCCUUCUGUGACGUUAAUGCUGCGCCGAAGUCUUACUUUGAAAUCUCAUAGCACUCUUGACAACAAACAACUAUGGCACUUAGGCCAAAGCAGGUCACAAAUUCUUCCCCCAAGAGAAUUUAAAUGGAAGCCUCUCCAAAUUGACAGCUUGCUUCUGAAGGCAGAGAGCGAACAUCAUGCAAAAGACAGGAAGACAUUUAACAAGAUUGGUAAAAAAUGUUCAGCACUAAAGAGCACAGAGGCAAGUCAAAAGAUAGAAUUUGUGUACAAGAAAUUGCUGGCCCCAUCCAGUGAAACCACAGAGAUUUGAUAUACUGAAAUAACACCUGGACAGUGAGGAAGCUGGCACUCUCCUGUUGCACAGUUUUUACAAGACUUUGACACAAAAUCUCCUGCAUUUCUUUGAUGAAAGGAAAUCCGGAGUGUUGUCAAAGAGUAUUGUAGAUUUCAUUUAUUUCUACAGAUCCAUAGCUGAGAUCUAUCAUUGAUAUGACAGGAUGGGUGGGUUGUUAGUUUUCUUUCUGUUAGUAUCUUAGGAUAGUAUUACAAAUUAUAUGGAGAACACAGGAUCCUAGCACUGUGUUUUCCCCACAAGAUCAAUAUAGAAUGGAUGAGUACUUGCAAGGUAGAAUGCCAUGUAGGUGAGCAUGCUUGACCCAGAUGCCUGUAGCUUCUGUGGUACAAUUGCCCUCUUCAGUAUUUUUAAUCAUUCCCCCUCCACUUUCAGAUGGGCUCCAAAACCAUGCCAAAGACACAGCCAGCGGGUGUAAGAUUUGGAGGAGGAGCUCAAUGAGUGUGAGUGUGGUUAUAUAACCUCCCUGUUGUUGAUUCUGUCCCAUAAAUGCCUCACAUGCAUUCAUGUUACUUCCGAAAAGGUGGGAUUGGAGACUGACAUCUGCUAUAACAUAUCUGACCUUAUUGCUAAAAGAAAUUUAAAUAUCUAAUGUAUACAAGAGAUUUUUCCUCAUGAUAAAUUGUGACUACUUGAUAAUUGUGUUUUGAGUUUUAUUAGUCAUACUGUAGAUGACUGUGCACUAAUCAGCAGCAAUAGCAGAAUGGAAGUCUGCUAGGUCACUGUUGGAACCACACACUCAGGCAUACAUUGUGUUGUUGUAUUCAUCUUUUGGUUGGUGCUAUAGUUUUUUCAGUUCCCAUGGUAUUAUUGAAAUCUGAGUCUUGUCUCCAUUCUGGCAGACCAGUCUUUCCUAAUACUGCAUUCUGUAACUCUCUAAUUUUCCUUGCCCCGAAUGAAAAGAAUAGCCUAUGUGAACAUUAAAGGACAUGAAAGAUGAAAACAUUGCAGCACUACAUUUUAAAAGUAUCGAGUGGUUGCAAGCAGAACUAGCUGAUAGCAUGAAUUGUUUCUUCUCUUCCCAGCCUGAUAAUUUUCACUGAACAAGGCACCUUAUCAAAAUAUCUUAUGAAUUUUAAAACUAUAAUGUUAGUCUGGAAGGAAACGUCCUGCAAAAAUUAGCUCAGAAAAAGACUUUAAAUCUCAUUUUUAUUCCAAAGAAUCACUCUUUGAAACAGCAGUGAAUUUGGAAGACACUGAAACAAACAGCCAGCUGCUUAAAAGUUAAAUUAAUGGGGAGAAAACAAUAAUCAUAAGCAGAGCUCAGAAGUAACGACAUUUCUACGAGAUCUUCAAAACAUAAGAGCUCCACAGGAACUAGACAUAAACAUGGAGACAAUAGAUAUGAAUCUACCAAAUUCUAAGAGUCAAUGACUAAAGUGGAAAUUUUAGCUAUUAGUCUGUGCAAGCGUAUCAGUCACAUAAAAACAAAAGACAAAAACAUUGUGGUACCUUAAAUACUGUUAUAUUUUAAUUUGAGCUUUUGUAGAUCAAAUUUUUAAUAAAUGAAGGAAUGUAAAUUGGCUUAAAAUAUGA